AGGAGACUUCAAAGAGGGGCUAUGAAACCAGGAACUUUUAAUGCAGUGACCAAAGAUUGAAGUUCUGUACAGGAUGCUAUAGUCACAUAGUAGUGCUCUUUUCUUGAGGAAAUAUGUCA
This 119-nucleotide small nucleolar RNA is filed under the name Otolemur garnettii (small-eared galago). RNAcentral's name for it is "Small nucleolar RNA SNORA25 (ENSOGAG00000026771.1)". The record is from RNAcentral. Lineage: Eukaryota; Metazoa; Chordata; Mammalia; Primates; Galagidae.